UACGAAGGGGGCUAGCGUUGCUCGGAAUCACUGGGCGUAAAGGGUGCGUAGGCGGGUUUUUAAGUCAGGGGUGAAAUCCUGGAGCUCAACUCCAGAACUGCCUUUGAUACUGAAGAUCUCGAGUCCGGGAGAGGUGAGUGGAACUGCGAGUGUAGAGGUGAAAUUCGUAGAUAUUCGCAAGAACACCAGUGGCGAAGGCGGCUCACUGGCCCGGUACUGACGCUGAGGCACGAAAGCGUGGGGAGCAAACAGU
This 253-nucleotide ribosomal RNA is filed under the name uncultured bacterium. Its description in RNAcentral is "partial 16S ribosomal RNA". It matches the Rfam family "Bacterial small subunit ribosomal RNA", at positions 524 to 776 of the family's 1533-position model. The record is from RNAcentral.